GACGAACGCUGGCGGCGUGCCUAAUACAUGCAAGUCGAGCGGACGAUUCGAAAGCUUGCUUUUGAAUCGUUAGCGGCGGACGGGUGAGUAACACGUGGGCAACCUGCCCUGUAGACGGGGAUAACACCGAGAAAUCGGUGCUAAUACCGGAUAACACGAAAUGUCGCAUGACGUUUCGUUGAAAGGCGGCGCAAGCUGCCGCUACAGGAUGGGCCCGCGGCGCAUUAGCUAGUUGGUGAGGUAACGGCUCACCAAGGCGACGAUGCGUAGCCGACCUGAGAGGGUGAUCGGCCACACUGGGACUGAGACACGGCCCAGACUCCUACGGGAGGCAGCAGUAGGGAAUCUUCCGCAAUGGACGAAAGUCUGACGGAGCAACGCCGCGUGAGCGAAGAAGGCCCUCGGGUCGUAAAGCUCUGUUGUUAGGGAAGAACAAGUAACGUAGUAACUGACGUUACUAUGACGGUACCUAACGAGAAAGCCACGGCUAACUACGUG
This 498-nucleotide ribosomal RNA is filed under the name uncultured bacterium. Its description in RNAcentral is "partial 16S ribosomal RNA". It matches the Rfam family "Bacterial small subunit ribosomal RNA", at positions 28 to 507 of the family's 1533-position model. The record is from RNAcentral.